RNAcentral lists this transfer RNA (76 nucleotides) under Rickettsia endosymbiont of Culicoides impunctatus. Its description in RNAcentral is "tRNA-Ala". It matches the Rfam family "tRNA". Rfam says of the family: Transfer RNA (tRNA) molecules are approximately 80 nucleotides in length. Their secondary structure includes four short double-helical elements and three loops (D, anti-codon, and T loops). Lineage: Bacteria; Pseudomonadati; Pseudomonadota; Alphaproteobacteria; Rickettsiales; Rickettsiaceae. The record is from RNAcentral.
GGGGUCAUAGCUCAGUUGGUAGAGCGUUUGAAUGGCAUUCAAAAGGUCGGGGGUUCAAUCCCCCCUGACUCCACCA